CACAUGCAAGUCGAACGAUAAUGCCCAGCUUCUUGGCGGAUUAGUGGCGAACGGGUGAGUAAUACGUGAGUAACCUGCCCUUGACUCUGGGAUAAGCCUGGGAAACCGGGUCUAAUACUGGAUACUACUUGCCACCGCAUGGUGGGGGGUGGAAAGGGUUUUACUGGUUUUGGAUGGGCUCACGGCCUAUCAGCUUGUUGGUGGGGUAAUGGCUCACCAAGGCGACGACGGGUAGCCGGCCUGAGAGGGUGACCGGCCACACUGGGACUGAGACACGGCCCAGACUCCUACGGGAGGCAGCAGUGGGGAAUAUUGCACAAUGGGCGAAAGCCUGAUGCAGCGACGCCGCGUGAGGGAUGACGGCCUUCGGGUUGUAAACCUCUUUCAGUAGGGAAGAAGCGAAAGUGACGGUACCUGCAGAAGAAGCGCCGG
This 432-nucleotide ribosomal RNA is filed under the name bacterium mgm06b. RNAcentral describes it as "bacterial SSU rRNA". It matches the Rfam family "Bacterial small subunit ribosomal RNA", at positions 52 to 496 of the family's 1533-position model. The record is from RNAcentral.